CGCGUAGGUGGCCGAGCAAGGUCGCGGUGAAAGCCCGGGGCUCAACCCCGGGUCGGCCGUGGCAACUACUUGGCUUGAGCACUGUAGGGGCGGGUGGAAUUCCGGGUGUAGCGGUGGAAUGCGUAGAGAUCCGGAAGAACACCGGUGGCGAAGGCGGCCCGCUGGGCAGGAAGGCUCGCAAGAGCCGGCUGACACUGAGGCGCGACAGCGUGGGGAGCAAACAGGAUUAGAUACCCUGGUAGUCCACGCCGUAAACGAUGGGCACUAGGUGCUUGGGGGAGCGACCCUCCGAGUGCCGGCGCUAACGCAUUAAGUGCCCCGCCUGGGGAGUACGGCCGCAAGGCUGAA
Molecule: ribosomal RNA, 348 nt
Filed under: uncultured bacterium
Lineage: Bacteria
Description: bacterial SSU rRNA
Rfam family: Bacterial small subunit ribosomal RNA
Source: RNAcentral